Molecule: small nucleolar RNA, 106 nt
Organism: Malania oleifera
Lineage: Eukaryota; Viridiplantae; Streptophyta; Magnoliopsida; Santalales; Ximeniaceae
Source: RefSeq, a predicted model, not a curated record
ACCUAAUGAUGUGGAAAUUUAUGAAGUAGGUCCCUAAAAUACUCCCAGGUCUCAAAGAAAUGUUCCCCAUCCAUCUAUGUGAAACUUGUGAUUGCCCUUCACAGCU